GACGAACGCUGGCGGCGUGCUUAACACAUGCAAGUCGAACGAUGAACCCGGAGCUUGCUCCGGCGGAUUAGUGGCGAACGGGUGAGUAACACGUGAGUAACCUGCCCUUGACUCUGGGAUAACUGCGGGAAACUGUAGCUAAUACCGGAUACGACCCUCGGCGGCAUCGCCAGGGGGUGGAAAGAAUUUCGGUCAAGGAUGGACUCGCGGCUUAUCAGCUAGUUGGUGAGGUAACGGCUCAUCAAGGCGACGACGGGUAGCCGGCCUGAGAGGGUGACCGGCCACACUGGGACUGAGACACGGCCCAGACUCCUACGGGAGGCAGCAGUGGGGAAUAUUGCACAAUGGGCGCAAGCCUGAUGCAGCAACGCCGCGUGAGGGAUGACGGCCUUCGGGUUGUAAACCUCUUUUAGUAGGGAAGAAGCGAAAGUGACGGUACCUGCAGAAAAAGCACCGGCUAACUACGUGCCAGCCGCCGCAGUAA
RNAcentral lists this ribosomal RNA (484 nucleotides) under uncultured bacterium. RNAcentral describes it as "partial 16S ribosomal RNA". It matches the Rfam family "Bacterial small subunit ribosomal RNA", at positions 28 to 523 of the family's 1533-position model. The record is from RNAcentral.